UGUCCGCCGACCUGCUCAUAGAUGACCGGGUGGAUAUCACGGGGGCCGAGCCCAACCCCAGCUGGGAACACGUGCUCUUCACGGCCUGUCAUAACCAGCAUGUGCAGCUGCAGCCGCCGCGCCGCCGGCUGCACUCGUGGGCGGACGACUGGAAGGCCAUCCUGGACAGCAAGCGGCCCCGCUGAGCGCGCAGUGGAGCUGGGGGCCGGGGUGCCCUCGUCCCGCUGCACGGCCCCUCGCUUCUCCAGCCCUGCCAGGCCUUAACCUGUUCUCAAGGCAGCUCUGAAGGACCCCCUGGGGGACCAAGACGAGGGCUCCCGGGCAGUGGGGGCGCCCCCGGGCGGCGCUGAGGCCGGCAGUCCUCACCCACCCCGCCGUGGGUCUGCACCUGUCGGCACCCAUCCGCAAGGAGUGCCAGGAACGCGAUGGGAGAGCGCGGACACGAGCCCGCCGCCUCGCCCGCGGCACCCCUGCGCCCGCCCGGCCUCCGCCAGUGACUGUCCGUCCGCUCAGCAGGUCCCCGUGGCCGCCAGCUCUGUGCUCCGGCCCGCGGGCCACACUCAGGGC
This 567-nucleotide long non-coding RNA is filed under the name Oryctolagus cuniculus (rabbit). RNAcentral describes it as "lncRNA (ENSOCUG00000023873.2)". The record is from RNAcentral. Lineage: Eukaryota; Metazoa; Chordata; Mammalia; Lagomorpha; Leporidae.